This 253-nucleotide ribosomal RNA is filed under the name uncultured bacterium. RNAcentral describes it as "partial 16S ribosomal RNA". It matches the Rfam family "Bacterial small subunit ribosomal RNA", at positions 524 to 776 of the family's 1533-position model. The record is from RNAcentral.
UACAGAGGGUGCAAGCGUUGUUCGGAAUUAUUGGGCGUAAAGAGUAUGUAGGCGGCCUAGUAAGUCAGUUGUGAAAGCCCCGGGCUCAACCCGGGAAGUGCAAUUGAUACUGCUUGGCUUGAAUGUGGAAGAGGGCGGUAGAAUUCCAGGUGUAGUGGUGAAAUACGUAGAUAUCUGGAGGAAUACCGGUGGCGAAGGCGGCUGCCUGGUCCUACAUUGACGCUGAGAUACGAAAGCGUGGGGAGCAAACAGG